This is a long non-coding RNA of Sebastes umbrosus (honeycomb rockfish), 137 nucleotides long. RefSeq lists it as uncharacterized. The transcript has 2 exons. Lineage: Eukaryota; Metazoa; Chordata; Actinopteri; Perciformes; Sebastidae. The record is from RefSeq and is a predicted model, not a curated record.
GCAACGUCCGCGGCCUUUGGAUCAGCCACAAUAAUGCUACCCAGAGGUGAAGAGGACGUGGGAAGACCCAAAUGGAUUUCUUUAUUCAUGAAUUAUAUUAUUAUAUUCAUUUUUUUCCUCAUUCUUCGAAGAUUAAG